CCAAAGCGGGCGAUUCAUUAUAACGCCAAAAAAUCAACAGGUAUAAAGUUAUUUGUACCAAUUUACAAUUAUUAUAGAAAGUUGAAGAUGUCACAGGUGCAAGGACAAAGUUUCCUAGAUGAGAACAACAGAAGGCGUUACAUCACAACGUAAUGCAAAAAUAAUUCAUAAAGUUAUGAAGAGAAGAAAUCAGGCGAAUAAAGGAAUUUAUAAAGGACCCAGCCAAGGGGCAAAUUGUUCAAAGCCACAAGAGGGCAUACAAAAUAGUUACAAAAAGCCACAGAAGGGCGAGAACAAAAAUCAUUACAAACAAAGUCGUAUCAUUCACUGGGAGGUACAUAGGGAACAAGCUUUCCGUCAAUAAUCUGGUUCAUC
RNAcentral lists this long non-coding RNA (375 nucleotides) under Trifolium pratense (red clover). RNAcentral's name for it is "long non-coding RNA (TPRA_LNC011073)". The record is from RNAcentral. Lineage: Eukaryota; Viridiplantae; Streptophyta; Magnoliopsida; Fabales; Fabaceae.